Molecule: ribosomal RNA, 113 nt
Organism: Terribacillus aidingensis
Lineage: Bacteria; Bacillati; Bacillota; Bacilli; Caryophanales; Bacillaceae
Source: Rfam
UCUGGUGGUAAUAGCGAAGAGGUCACACCUGUUCCCAUGCCGAACACAGUAGUUAAGCUCUUCAGCGCCGAUGGUAGUUGGGUUCGCCCUGCGAGAGUAGGACGUUGCCAGGC